UCCUACGCAAUGUUAAUCAACGUAGGGUAAGCCGGCCCCUAAGGCGUAGCUGAAGAGUGAAGUCGAUGGGAAACAGGUUAAUAUUCCUGUGCCGCUUAUAUAAACGAAGGAGGGACGGAGAAGGUUAGGUAGGCCUGGCGAAUGGUUGUCCAGGUGAAAGUAUAUAGGUAGAGGUGUUAGGCAAAUCCGGCAUCUUGUUAAUCUGAGAUACGAGACGAAGUCAAACUUGUUUGACGAAGCUAUUGAUACCAUGCUUCCAGGAAAAGCUUCUAAGUAUAUUGUAUAAGCGACCGUACUGUAAACCGACACUGGUGGGUAGGUAGAGAAUACUAAGGCUAUGAGAUAACUCUGGUGAAGGAACUAGGCAAAAUGACACCGUAACUUUGGAAAAAGGUGUGCCCUUGAUAGUUAUAAGACUUGCUCUUUGGGCUGUUGGGGGUUGCAGAUACCAGGUGGCUGCGACUGUUUAUCAAAAACACAGCACUCUGCGAAAUCGUAAGAUGAAGUAUAGGGUGUGACGCCUGCCCGGUGCUGGAAGGUUAAU
RNAcentral lists this ribosomal RNA (544 nucleotides) under uncultured Francisella sp. RNAcentral's name for it is "bacterial LSU rRNA". It matches the Rfam family "Bacterial large subunit ribosomal RNA", at positions 1353 to 1881 of the family's 2925-position model. The record is from RNAcentral. Lineage: Bacteria; Pseudomonadati; Pseudomonadota; Gammaproteobacteria; Thiotrichales; Francisellaceae.